CUUUAGGUAUACAGUACUCCCUAAAAGAUUGCAGACUUGAUUAUAAUGCCAUGGUUCCACAAGGACGAAUUUUUAGAGUAGAUAAAGGGAAGUUCAUCACCACAUCUUGGUCUCCUGAUGGCGGGGUUACAUGGUUUACCUAUCAGUGCGCAUACAACACAAGUCCUUCAAUCACAUAUAAGAACUUUUUCAAACCACCUGGUAACUGGUAAAUGUGUCAGCUUGAAAAAUAAAUGUAAAAGUUAUCGUAUAAUUUAA
Mytilus californianus (California mussel) is the source of this 258-nucleotide long non-coding RNA. RefSeq lists it as uncharacterized. The transcript has 2 exons. The record is from RefSeq and is a predicted model, not a curated record. NCBI's taxonomy places the organism in Eukaryota, Metazoa, Mollusca, Bivalvia, Mytilida, Mytilidae.